CUACGGAGGGUCCGAGCGUUAUCCGGAAUCAUUGGGUUUAAAGGGUGCGUAGGCGGGAAUCUAAGUCAGUGGUGAAAUCUUGCAGCUCAACUGUAAAAUUGCCAUUGAUACUGGAUUUCUUGAAUUAGUGUGAAGUGGUUAGAAUGUGUAGUGUAGCGGUGAAAUGCAUAGAUAUUACACAGAAUACCAAUUGCGAAGGCAGAUAACUAACACUAUAUUGACGCUGAGGGACGAAAGCGUGGGGAGCGAACAGGAUUAGAAACCCUGGUAGUCC
This 274-nucleotide ribosomal RNA is filed under the name uncultured bacterium. Its description in RNAcentral is "partial 16S ribosomal RNA". It matches the Rfam family "Bacterial small subunit ribosomal RNA", at positions 523 to 796 of the family's 1533-position model. The record is from RNAcentral.